RNAcentral lists this transfer RNA (73 nucleotides) under Protostelium mycophagum. RNAcentral describes it as "tRNA-Asp". It matches the Rfam family "tRNA". Rfam says of the family: Transfer RNA (tRNA) molecules are approximately 80 nucleotides in length. The record is from RNAcentral. Lineage: Eukaryota; Evosea; Variosea; Protosteliida; Protosteliaceae.
AUCGGCGUAGUCUAGUGGUUUAGGACGCCGGUUUGUCGAACCGGAGGGGCGGGUUCAAUUCCCGUCGCUGGUG